CCACACAAAGCUCCUCCUCUCUUUCUCCAGGUAUUUCUUAUAUUGCCUGCCACCCUCUUGUUCAGAUGAGAGGACCUAGAACCUGAUUACCAAUGGCUCAAGAUCUUAGAGCAGAUGAAGAACCACUAAAGAUUUGAAAUAAAAAAUGAGGAAGCUGAGGUGGAAAAUAUGACACUACAGACUUCUGGUGAGCCUGAAGCCUCACCAAGUGCAGAUAGAACUACCCUAUUUAUAAAAGGAGAUGAAUCAAGCAGCAAUGCGAGGUUUCUAAUAGACUUUACAAACAAGAGUACAGAAGAUUUUGUUAAAUCCCUAGAUGUCUCACUCCAUCACCCUCAGAAUUUCCAGUUUUAUAUCCAGAGUAACAUAGCCCUUGUUCUAAAAACUGUAGUGCCAACCCAGAGCCAGGCAACCCUGGAGCCCUUUUUAUUUCUCCCUGAGACCCACGGGUGAAUGACCCUUUAAGCAUGAAUCUGAAUUCAAAGAUUUCAAUGGCAAUGUAUUCAAUAUGCUAUCUUUGAUCAGAUAUUUACAACUGAUGAGAGAAAAAAAUGAUCUUUAUGUACAUAUUUCUUGCUAGUCUUGGGAUACUGGCUGUCACUGGAUUUCAUCUGAUCUUAGAAUCUAGAAAACAAAAGAGACCCAUACAGAAAAUAGAAAUGGAUGCAUCAAACCAGAAUGAUACUAACAUGAGUUGAUUCCUCACAAAACUUUGAAUCAGAUUGAUAACAUUUUACUCAUAAGUUUUUCCAGAAAAGAGGCACAGAAGAGAUCAAUGGCAUCUGGU
Molecule: long non-coding RNA, 787 nt
Filed under: Homo sapiens (human)
Lineage: Eukaryota; Metazoa; Chordata; Mammalia; Primates; Hominidae
Description: non-protein coding lnc-UCHL3-11:1
Source: RNAcentral